GGGUAAUCUGCCCUGCACUCUGGGAUAAGCCUUGGAAACGAGGUCUAAUACCGGAUAUGACACACGACCGCAUGGUCUGUGUGUGGAAAGUUCCGGCGGUGCAGGAUGAGCCCGCGGCCUAUCAGCUUGUUGGUGGGGUAGUGGCCUACCAAGGCGACGACGGGUAGCCGGCCUGAGAGGGUGACCGGCCACACUGGGACUGAGACACGGCCCAGACUCCUACGGGAGGCAGCAGUGGGGAAUCUUGCGCAAUGGGCGAAAGCCUGACGCAGCAACGCCGCGUGGGGGAUGACGGCCUUCGGGUUGUAAACCUCUUUCGACAGGGACGAAGCUUUCGGGUGACGGUACCUGUAGAAGAAGCACCGGCUAACUACGUGCCAGCAGCCGCGGUAAUACGUAGGGUGCGAGCGUUGUCCGGAUUUAUUGGGCGUAAAGAGCUCGUAGGCGGUUUGUCGCGUCGGCCGUGAAAACCUGCAGCUUAACUGUGGGCGUGCGGUCGAUACGGGCAGACUUGAGUUCGGCAGGGGAGACUGGAAUUCCUGGUGUAGCGGUGAAAUGCGCAGAUAUCAGGAGGAACACCGGUGGCGAAGGCGGGUCUCUGGGCCGAUACUGACGCUGAGGAGCGAAAGCAUGGGGAGCGAACAGGAUUAGAUACCCUGGUAGUCCAUGCCGUAAACGUUGGGCGCUAGGUGUGGGGAUGGGUUCCACCGUUU
Molecule: ribosomal RNA, 713 nt
Filed under: Saccharopolyspora sp.
Lineage: Bacteria; Bacillati; Actinomycetota; Actinomycetes; Pseudonocardiales; Pseudonocardiaceae
Description: bacterial SSU rRNA
Rfam family: Bacterial small subunit ribosomal RNA
Source: RNAcentral